RNAcentral lists this ribosomal RNA (273 nucleotides) under uncultured Eubacteriales bacterium. RNAcentral describes it as "uncultured Clostridiales bacterium partial 16S ribosomal RNA". It matches the Rfam family "Bacterial small subunit ribosomal RNA", at positions 68 to 339 of the family's 1533-position model. The record is from RNAcentral. Lineage: Bacteria; Bacillati; Bacillota; Clostridia; Eubacteriales.
AGAGAUGAGGAGCUUGCUCUUCAAAUCGAGUGGCGAACGGGUGAGUAACGCGUGAGGAACCUGCCUCAAAGAGGGGGACAACAGUUGGAAACGACUGCUAAUACCGCAUAAGCGCACGGUUCCGCAUGGUACGGUGUGAAAAACUCCGGUGGUGUGGGAUGGACCCGCGUCUGAUUAGCUAGUUGGUGAGGUAACGGCCCACCAAGCCGACGAUCAGUAGCCGGUCUGAGAGGAUGAACGGCCACACUGGAACUGAGACACGGUCCAGACUCC